RNAcentral lists this ribosomal RNA (497 nucleotides) under uncultured bacterium. RNAcentral describes it as "partial 16S ribosomal RNA". It matches the Rfam family "Bacterial small subunit ribosomal RNA", at positions 28 to 507 of the family's 1533-position model. The record is from RNAcentral.
GAUGAACGCUGGCGGCGUGCCUAAUACAUGCAAGUCGAGCGAACAGACGAGGAGCUUGCUCCUCUGACGUUAGCGGCGGACGGGUGAGUAACACGUGGAUAACCUACCUAUAAGACUGGGAUAACUUCGGGAAACCGGAGCUAAUACCGGAUAAUAUAUUGAACCGCAUGGUUCAAUAGUGAAAGACGGUUUUGCUGUCACUUAUAGAUGGAUCCGCGCCGCAUUAGCUAGUUGGUAAGGUAACGGCUUACCAAGGCGACGAUGCGUAGCCGACCUGAGAGGGUGAGCGGCCACACUGGAACUGAGACACGGUCCAGGCUCCUACGGGAGGCAGCAGUCGGGAAUCUUCCGCAAUGGGCGAAAGCCUGGCGGAGCAACGCCGCGUGAGUGAUGAAGGUCUUCGGAUCGUAACACUCUGUUAUUAGGGAAGAACAAAUGUGUAAGUGACUAUGCACGUCUUGACGGUACCUAAUCAGAAAGCCACGGCUAACUACGUG